Molecule: non-coding RNA, 465 nt
Organism: Pelodiscus sinensis (Chinese soft-shelled turtle)
Lineage: Eukaryota; Metazoa; Chordata; Testudines; Trionychidae
Source: RefSeq, a predicted model, not a curated record
GUCCCCAGUUCGGUGCCCAGGCUCCCACGCAUUGGGCAGGGGCCUAAGAAAGGGAGUCGCUGAAGCCGGCAAGGCACUAACCCCAUCUCAGCCAAAGAAAGGAGGUUGCCCGAGACGCACAGGUGAGAAUGGCAACCGGGCCUCCUCUGAGGAAGAAGCCAUCGCCCACAGUGUGUCUGGGUCAUGCAAAAGAGUCCCUGAGACCCCUGCUGCCCUCCAGCCAUGAUGAGUUUUCACCUGUCGCUUGCUGUUCUUCUCUUGCUCUCCCUGGCUGCUUCAGGUAACAUGGAAACCAAUAUUUAGUGGUAAACUAGGGGACUGGGAGAUCCUAGGAAGCAAAGAUCAGAUGGGCAGAAUUCUAGUUCUCAGGAGCGUUAACAAGGGGUGGUACAUGCCCAUGAGCAAUUUAGGACCUGUCAGACUGGACCCGAUUGUGAGAGGGGCUCCGAUCUUGAGAAUUAAAAA